GACGAACGCUGGCGGCGUGCUUAACACAUGCAAGUCGAACGGAAAGGCCCUGCUUUUGUGGGGUGCUCGAGUGGCGAACGGGUGAGUAACACGUGAGUAACCUGCCCUUGACCUUGGGAUAACUUCAGGAAACUGGGGCUAAUACCGGAUAGGAGCUCCUGCUGCAUGGCGGGGGUUGGAAAGUUUCGGCGGUUGGGGAUGGACUCGCGGCUUAUCAGCUUGUUGGUGGGGUAGUGGCUUACCAAGGCUUUGACGGGUAGCCGGCCUGAGAGGGUGACCGGCCACAUUGGGACUGAGAUACGGCCCAGACUCCUACGGGAGGCAGCAGUGGGGAAUAUUGCACAAUGGGCGGAAGCCUGAUGCAGCAACGCCGCGUGCGGGAUGACGGCCUUCGGGUUGUAAACCGCUUUCGCCUGUGACGAAGCGUGAGUGACGGUAAUGGGUAAAGAAGCACCGGCUAACUACGUG
This 468-nucleotide ribosomal RNA is filed under the name uncultured bacterium. RNAcentral's name for it is "partial 16S ribosomal RNA". It matches the Rfam family "Bacterial small subunit ribosomal RNA", at positions 28 to 507 of the family's 1533-position model. The record is from RNAcentral.